This 69-nucleotide transfer RNA is filed under the name Psilorhynchus pseudecheneis. Its description in RNAcentral is "tRNA-Ser". Lineage: Eukaryota; Metazoa; Chordata; Actinopteri; Cypriniformes; Psilorhynchidae. The record is from RNAcentral.
AAGAAAGGAAUGAAAACAGUAAGUGCUGCUAAUACUUAUGCCCCGUGGUUAAACUCCGCGGCUUUCUUG